UCUAAGUUAGCAGAUAAAAUGUUUUUGAUUUAGGUUCAAAAGGAAGAGGUAACUCUACUUAGUA
RNAcentral lists this transfer RNA (64 nucleotides) under Lutraria maxima. Its description in RNAcentral is "tRNA-Leu". Lineage: Eukaryota; Metazoa; Mollusca; Bivalvia; Venerida; Mactridae. The record is from RNAcentral.